GCCGUAAUCGUCUAGUGGUUAGGACCCUACGUUGUGGAUCACAACGUAUAACAAAACCGUAGUAACCCAGGUUCGAAUCCUGGUUACGGCA
Molecule: non-coding RNA, 91 nt
Organism: Daphnia pulex (common water flea)
Lineage: Eukaryota; Metazoa; Arthropoda; Branchiopoda; Diplostraca; Daphniidae
Source: Rfam